Molecule: ribosomal RNA, 478 nt
Filed under: uncultured bacterium
Lineage: Bacteria
Description: partial 16S ribosomal RNA
Rfam family: Bacterial small subunit ribosomal RNA
Source: RNAcentral
GAUGAACGCUGGCGGCGUGCUUAACACAUGCAAGUCGAACGGGAAACCUUUUAUUGAAGCUUCGGCAGAUUUAGCUGGUUUCUAGUGGCGGACGGGUGAGUAACGCGUGGGUAACCUGCCUUAUACAGGGGGAUAACAACCAGAAAUGGUUGCUAAUACCGCAUAAGCGCACAGGACCGCAUGGUCCGGUGUGAAAAACUCCGGUGGUAUAAGAUGGACCCGCGUUGGAUUAGCUAGUUGGCAGGGUAACGGCCUACCAAGGCGACGAUCCAUAGCCGGCAUGAGAGGGUGAACGGCCACAUUGGGAAUGAGACACGGACAAGACUCCUACGGGAAGCAGCAGUGGGGAAUAUUGCAAAAUGGGGGAAACGCUGAUGCAGCGACGCCGCGUGAAGGAAGAAGUAUCUGGGUAUGUAAACUUCUAUCAGCAGGGAAGAUAGUGACGGUACCUGACUAAGAAGCCCCGGCUAACUACGUG